RNAcentral lists this ribosomal RNA (1785 nucleotides) under Candidatus Phytoplasma sacchari. RNAcentral's name for it is "bacterial SSU rRNA". The stretch from base 1 to 1535 matches the Rfam family "Bacterial small subunit ribosomal RNA". The record is from RNAcentral. Lineage: Bacteria; Bacillati; Mycoplasmatota; Mollicutes; Acholeplasmatales; Acholeplasmataceae.
CCAUAAUUACAUGCAAAGUCGAACGGAAAUUUUCGGAUUUUAGUGGCGAACGGGUGAGUAACACGUAAGCAACCUGCCUUUAAGACGAGGAUAACAAUUGGAAACAGUUGCUAAGACUGGAUAGGAAAUAAAAAGGCAUCUUUUUAUUUUUAAAAGACCUUUUUCGGAAGGUAUGCUUAAAGAGGGGCUUGCGUCACAUUAGUUAGUUGGCAGGGUAAAGGCCUACCAAGACUAUGAUGUGUAGCUGGACUGAGAGGUUGAACAGCCACAUUGGGACUGAGACACGGCCCAAACUCCUACGGGAGGCAGCAGUAGGGAAUUUUCGGCAAUGGAGGAAACUCUGACCGAGCAACGCCGCGUGAACGAUGAAGUAUUUCGGUAUGUAAAGUUCUUUUAUUGAAGAAGAAAAAAUAGUGGAAAAACUAUCUUGACGAUAUUCAAUGAAUAAGCCCCGGCAAACUAUGUGCCAGCAGCCGCGGUAAUACAUAGGGGGCGAGCGUUAUCCGGAAUUAUUGGGCGUAAAGGGUGCGUAGGCGGUUUAAUAAGUCUAUAGUUUAAUUUCAGUGCUUAACAAUGAGUCCUGCUAUAGAAACUAUUAGACGUGUAGAAUGAGAUAGAGGCAAGUGGGAAAUUCUCCAAUGUGUGAGCGGCGUUAAAAUUGCGCGUAAAAUAUAUUGGAGGAACACUCAGAGGCGCUAAGGCCGGCUUGCUAGGGUUCUUUACUGUACCGCUGAAGGCACGAAAGCGUGGGGGAGCAAACAGGGAUUAGGAUACCCUGGUAGGUCCCACGCCCGUAACGAUGAGGUAAUAAGUGUCGGGGAUUUACUCGGGUACUGAAAGUUAACACAUUAAAGUACUCCGCCCUGGAGUUAGUACGUACGCAAGUAUGAAAACUUAAAGGAAAUUGACGGGACUCCGCACAAGGCGGUGGAUCCAUGUUGUUUAAUUCGAAGGAUACACGAAAAACCCUUACCAGGUCUUUGACAUACUCUGCAAAGCUAUAGCAAUAUAGUGGAGGUUAUCAGGGAUACAGGUGGUGCAUGGUUGUCGUCAGCUCGUGUCGUGAGAUGUUAGGUUAAGUCCUAAAACGAGCGCAACCCUUUGUCAUUAGUUGCCAGCAUGUCAUGAUGGGCACUUUAAUGAGACUGCCAAUGAAAAAUUGGAGGAAGGUGAGGAUCACGUCAAAUCAUCAUGCCCCUUAUGAUCUGGGCUACAAACGUGAUACAAUGGCUGUUACAAAGAGUAGCUGAAACGCAAGUUUAUAGCCAAUCUCAUAAAAGCAGUCUCAGUUCGGAUUGAAGUCUGCAACUCGACUUCAUGAAGUUGGAAUCGCUAGUAAUCGCGAAUCAGCAUGUCGCGGUGAAUACGUUCUCGGGGUUUGUACACACCGCCCGUCAAACCACGAAAGUUGGUAAUACUCAAAAACGGUAGCCUAACUUCUUCGGAAGAGGGAACCGUCUAAGGUAGGAUCGAUGAUUGGGGUUAAGUCGUAACAAGGUAUCCCUACCGGAAGGUGGGGAUGGAUCACCUCCUUUCUAAGGAAUAAUUUUUUAAAUAUUCAUCUUCAGUUUUGAAAGACUUAGUUCUUAUAAGUUUUUCUUUUUUAAGGAAAAGAAAAUGGGCCUAUAGCUCAGUUGGUUAGAGCACACGCCUGAUAAGCGUGAGGUCGAUGGUUCAAGUCCAUUUAGGCCCACCAACUGAAAAAAAGGUCUUUUUUCUAAUUCUUAAAAAAAAAGUUCUUUGAAAAGUAGAUAAACAAAGUAUUUUUUAAAAAUCAAAGAAUCA